RNAcentral lists this long non-coding RNA (535 nucleotides) under Anthonomus grandis grandis. RNAcentral's name for it is "uncharacterized LOC126745346". The record is from RNAcentral. Lineage: Eukaryota; Metazoa; Arthropoda; Insecta; Coleoptera; Curculionidae.
UUUUGACUUUUUUUUUACUCUACUCUGAACCAACUAGUAUGGAAAUCACUAAAAAGAAUAUCUACAGACAGGAACAAACUGUCCUGAAAGAUGUAAAAAGAGACACCAACAGCUUGUAAUGAAGGCAUAGAACUAGAGCAACCAGGUUGAAGGAGUCCCGGAUAAAGAACCAAAAACUAAAGAAAAUUAUUCUAGAAGAAUAAGGCAUACCAUAAAGACAGAUCGCAAAAACGAUGGGGUUACACAAGGGAUUGUUUCAAAAAUCUAUUCAAUGUUUCUGGAACCGGAAACACUAAAGAAUAGACCUAGAAGAAGUCAUGGAAGCAUUGUUACAGAAGGGCAAGUCGCUUUGUUACUAAAAAAAGCCAGAAUAUAUCCGACAACAUCUCAUUCAGAGCUUCAGAUGCAACUUUUGUAAGUUAAAGAUGAAGCCCUGAGGCACGCCUUUCUCCAGCUGCAUUAUACUAGAGGAAUAGUCAACAAUAUUCCUACAUGUAUACAUUCAUAGGAAUCUAUCCUCUUAGUAGGAUUCUAU